UGGGGAAUUUUGCACAAUGGGGGAAACCCUGAUGCAGCGACGCCGCGUGAUUUAGAAGGCCUUCGGGUUGUAAAAAUCUUUUGUAUGGGAAGAAAAUGACAGUACCAUACGAAUAAGGACCGGCUAAUAACGUGCCAGCAGCCGCGGUAAUACGUAAGGUCCGAGCGUUGUCCGGAAUCAUUGGGCGUAAAGGGUACGUAGGCGGAUAAGCAAGUUAGAAGUGAAAUCCUAUAGCUCAACUAUAGUAAGCUUUUAAAACUGCUCAUCUUGAGGUAUGGAAGGGAAAGUGGAAUUCCUAGUGUAGCGGUGAAAUGCGCAGAUAUUAGGAGGAAUACCGGUGGCGAAGGCGACUUUCUGGCCAUAUACUGACGCUGAGGUACGAAAGCGUGGGUAGCAAACAGG
Molecule: ribosomal RNA, 402 nt
Filed under: Verrucomicrobiota bacterium
Lineage: Bacteria; Pseudomonadati; Verrucomicrobiota
Description: Verrucomicrobia bacterium partial 16S ribosomal RNA
Rfam family: Bacterial small subunit ribosomal RNA
Source: RNAcentral